UACGUAGGGAGCAAGCGUUGUCCGGAAUCAUUGGGCGUAAAGCGCGCGUAGGCGGCCUCAUAAGUCCGUUGUGAAAGUCAAAGGCUCAACCUUUGAAAGCCGAUGGAUACUGUGAGGCUAGAGUCCGGAAGAGGCGAGUGGAAUUCCUGGUGUAGCGGUGGAAUGCGCAGAUAUCAGGAGGAACACCAAUAGCGAAGGCAGCUCGCUGGGACGGUACUGACGCUAAGGCGCGAAAGCAUGGGGAGCGAACAGG
Molecule: ribosomal RNA, 253 nt
Filed under: uncultured bacterium
Lineage: Bacteria
Description: partial 16S ribosomal RNA
Rfam family: Bacterial small subunit ribosomal RNA
Source: RNAcentral